Molecule: ribosomal RNA, 799 nt
Filed under: uncultured Glomeromycotina
Lineage: Eukaryota; Fungi; Glomeromycota
Description: bacterial SSU rRNA
Rfam family: Eukaryotic small subunit ribosomal RNA
Source: RNAcentral
AUCAACUUUCGAUGGUAGGAUAGAGGCCUACCAUGGUAGUAACGGGUAACGGGGAAUUAGGGUUCGAUUCCGGAGAGGGAGCCUGAGAAACGGCUACCACAUCCAAGGAAGGCAGCAGACGCGCAAAUUACCCAAUCCCGACACGGGGAGGUAGUGACAAUAAAUAACAAUACAGGGCCCUUUCGGGUCUUGUAAUUGGAAUGAGUACAAUUCAAAUCUCUUAACGAGGAACAAUUGGAGGGCAAGUCUGGUGCCAGCAGCCGCGGUAAUUCCAGCUCCAAUAGCGUAUAUUAAAGUUGUUGCAGUUAAAAAGCUCGUAGUUGAAUUUUGGACGGUGCAGCGUGGUCCGUCCUUUUGGGGACGAGCACUGCGCGGGCACGGUCUCACCUUCUGGCGAGGCGGGAUGCUCUUUGGUGGGUGUCUCGCGGAGCCAGGACGAUUACCUUGAAAAAAUUAGAGUGCUCAAAGCAGGCUCCGGCUUGAAUAGAUUAGCAUGGAAUAAUGGAAUAGGACGCGUGGCUCUAUUUCGUUGGUUUCUAGGAUCACCGUAAUGAUUAAUAGGGAUAGUUGGGGGCAUUAGUAUUCAAUUGUCAGAGGUGAAAUUCUUGGAUUUAUUGAAGACUAACUACUGCGAAAGCAUUUGCCAAGGAUGUUUUCAUUAAUCAAGAACGAAAGUUAGGGGAUCGAAGACGAUCAGAUACCGUCGUAGUCUUAACCAUAAACUAUGCCGACUAGGAAUCGGGCGAUGUUAUUCAGAUGACUUGCUCGGCGCCUCAAGGAAACCAAAGUGUUUGGGUUC